Molecule: long non-coding RNA, 502 nt
Organism: Pogoniulus pusillus (Red-fronted tinkerbird)
Lineage: Eukaryota; Metazoa; Chordata; Aves; Piciformes; Lybiidae
Exons: 3
Source: RefSeq, a predicted model, not a curated record
UGAGGUCCCCCCUGAGCAUCCUCUUCUGCAGGCUGCAUACCCCCAGCUCCCUCAGCCUCUCCUCAUAGGCUUUGUGUUCCAGGCCCUUCACCAGUCCUGUUGCCCUUCUCUGGACACCUUCCAGAAAGUCAGCCAGCUCCUACAGUCAACAGUAUGGUCUCUAUGACACUGGAAGUGAAAAUCACCAACUUGACAUCAGCCUCAAGGUGACUGUUACUGCUUUAGGAAGCUGGAAGUACAGUUCAGCCUUGAUGUUAUACAAAGAUGACAAACUCAGGCUGAGUGGAUGAAAGGACAACGCAGACACAAUUAGCCAGACAUCACAAAAAGGAGGGGGGAGUCACUUCUUAUGGCUACUUUACGUUUCAGAACAAUGCAAUAACAGAAGCCAUGCAGUAUUUACCCUGGGUUUAUUCUCUGCAAGCCCUCUGGGGGCUGCUUUUGUUUGUCUUUAUUUAAUUGGCAUGGUUGGGUGGCCACCAGCAGGUCCAAUUAAACAGAU